ACAAAGUAAAAGCAACAAUGCUGAGUACAGGUGGAAAAAUGUCACAAGUGGAUCCUGCAGUCUUCUAUUGGCUUGAUCAAGACUGUAAUAUGACUGUAAUGUGACUGGAGUACUUGCCUGUCAUGUUGAUGAGUUCAUCUGGGGUGGCUCACAGACCUUUGCUACUACUGUGAUUCCACACCGCAAAACUGGUUUCCAGGUCGUCCACAAAGGAGCAGCUUGCUGACUGUCUGACAAAAAAGUUCAGUCCUGAGCAGCCUGUGAGAUCAGAGACUGUGGGCUAUGUGAAGAAGCCGUCCCUUAAAGACAAGGUCCACUGUGUCGUCUUUGUGGUGGAUGCUUCUAAAGUGUCCAGCUACACCAAAGGCCUGGGCACCACCUUCCAACAGCUCCGAGAACACAUCAGUGACCUGGGUUUGUCAUCUGAUUUCUUUGAGUCUGGUGGAUAUGGAUGUAACCAUACUACAAGGCAGGACAGUUUUCUGCAUCCAGCUUGAGGCUUGGUACCAGCAGGAAUAUGGAGC
This 524-nucleotide long non-coding RNA is filed under the name Salmo salar (Atlantic salmon). RNAcentral describes it as "lncRNA (ENSSSAG00000115760.1)". The record is from RNAcentral. Lineage: Eukaryota; Metazoa; Chordata; Actinopteri; Salmoniformes; Salmonidae.